This is a ribosomal RNA of Gorilla gorilla gorilla (western lowland gorilla), 124 nucleotides long. The record is from Ensembl. Lineage: Eukaryota; Metazoa; Chordata; Mammalia; Primates; Hominidae.
CAAAUCAUAGAUACCCAAUCUAUGGCCAUACUGCCUGAUCUCAUCUAACCUCAGAAGCUAAGCAGGAAUGGUCCAGUUAAUAUUGGAUGGGAGACCACCUGGAAAUGCCAUGUAUAGGCUUUUA